UAAAAUAGUUGAAGUUAUUAUUAGAAAAUCUUUUUGGAAUGGUGAUAAUGUUAUUAUUAGAAAUCUUUUGUGAAUGGUGUGAUGAUGAUUUUAAUUCAGUAUUUUAGUGGAAUUUUGUGACAAAAAAAAAAAAAUGAUAAUUCUACAUUUUAGUAAAUUUUGUAACAAAAAAGAAAGAAAUGAUAGUUUACAGGCACGUGCAGGUAAAAUGUUAGUAAUGUAUUUCUUAUAGUUCUUUCAGAUAUAGCCAAACAAUAAUAAUGUAUUUCCCAUAUUGCAUCUAAAUACUACCCAAACAGUAACAAUCCAUUUACAGGUUAUGUAUUAUGCAGUAAUGUAUUACGCCAAUAAUAUAUUUGACAGAUAAUACAUUUCCAAGUAUCCAAAUGGCCCCUAAAGAUAAAUAAGAUAAGAUUUGAAUAAUUUAAGUUGGCUUUCCUUAUGCAAACUUAGUAUUCUUCGUUUCCCUAAAUUUGGAAGAAAAGCUAAGGGGUAUGUUAAAAUAGCAAUCAAAUAUCCUCCUGAUAUCCCAGGGUGUUAUAGAAUUUAAUAUGAUUUUAAUUAUAGAAGUUAGUGAAUAUGUUUAGGAACCGCGUAUCCUACUAAGAUAUAUUCGAAUAAACCCCACAUAUUCGAUAUCUAAAAAUUAUAGUCUGACUUGAAUUUACG
RNAcentral lists this long non-coding RNA (669 nucleotides) under Amborella trichopoda. RNAcentral's name for it is "long non-coding RNA (ATRI_LNC004233)". Lineage: Eukaryota; Viridiplantae; Streptophyta; Magnoliopsida; Amborellales; Amborellaceae. The record is from RNAcentral.